Molecule: ribosomal RNA, 408 nt
Filed under: uncultured bacterium
Lineage: Bacteria
Description: partial 16S ribosomal RNA
Rfam family: Bacterial small subunit ribosomal RNA
Source: RNAcentral
GACGAACGCUGGCGGCGUGCUUAACACAUGCAAGUCGAACGAAGUGGCGAACGGGUGAGUAACGCGUAAUCAACCUGCCCUUCAGAGGGGGACAACAGUUGGAAACGACUGCUAAUACCGCAUACUGAAGGAGGGGACUGCGGCUGAUUAGCUAGUUGGAGGGGUAACGCCCCACCAAGGCGAUGAUCAGUAGCCGGACUGAGAGAAUGAACGGCAACAUUGGGACUGAGACACGGCCCAGACGCCUACGGGAGGCAGCAGGGGGGAAUCGUCCGCAAUGGACGACAGUCUGACGGAGCAACGCCGCGUGAGUGAUGACGGCCUUCGGGUUGUAAAGCUCUGUUAAUCGGGACGCGGUACCGGAAUAGAAAGCCACGGCUAACUACGUGCCAGCAGCCGCGGUAAUUC